Long non-coding RNA from Salvia miltiorrhiza (redroot sage), 1420 nucleotides. RefSeq lists it as uncharacterized. NCBI's taxonomy places the organism in Eukaryota, Viridiplantae, Streptophyta, Magnoliopsida, Lamiales, Lamiaceae. The transcript is spliced from 5 exons. The record is from RefSeq and is a predicted model, not a curated record.
ACUCCUACCAAACUAAAUCAGCCCCAAAUUCUUCCUGAAAAAAUCAGCACCAUCGCGAAACCCCUCUCUCUCUUCUUCACUAGUUGCCACCUGCCGUCGUGCGUCGCGACUCGCACCUCCUGCUACACGCCGCCUGCCAGUCGCCGCGAACCCUAGGAGCCUUGACUCGCGCCGCCUUCAAAAGUCGCCGGCCGUCUGCUCACCGUCGUUAUGAACCCUAGGCGUCGCGCCUCCACCAUUUCUCUUCCUCUUCCUCUUUCCACUUUUAUUCUCUCUCUCAUCUCCUCUGAACUGCUUCAAAACUUGAUGGAGGCUGUAACUUGGUCUACCUGUACGACCUCAAGGCUGUAACUUGGUCUGCCCCUAUUGUGAUGGAGGCUUUAUACAUGAGCUGCCCGAAGUUAUGGGUGCUCACUCCGGUGAUGGUUUCGGACUGGGUUUUCAUUUUGGAUAUCAAACAACCAGUUAUGGGUGCUCACUCUAGUUGAAAAGGUUGGUUUAAUAAUUGGGAAGGGUGGAGAAACCAGAAAAUUGCAGACAAGAUCUGGGGCACGUAUUCAGACCAAUCUAGUUAGAAGAUGGUCCGUGUGACUGGUAACAAGAAGCAGAUUGAGACUGCAAGAGAAAUGAUCAAAGAAGUUAUGAAUCAGAUAAAAAUCACAAGUCUCAAUUUUCUUGCAACAUCUGCAGCAAGACCUUCAAUAGAUAAAAUAACAUGCUGGUAUGCUUAAUUAAGUACUACCGAAAUUUAUUCACAAGUAAUUUUGUUAUGAGGUAAUUAAAAUUAUAUUCAUGAAUCUUUAAUGUUUGGUUUGUUCAAUUUGGCGUAAAAUGUGUAAGGAUUUUUGAAGCUAUAUAUGACUAUUAAGUUUAUAGGAUCAAGAUUAGUAUAGUAGCUUCUUUGAGAAUCUUUAAUCUUUAAGGGUUUAAACAUGUUUGUUCUUGACUUGGGCUAAUAUUAGUAUAUACAGGGAAGAGGCCAUAGAUGCUCUUAUUUCCUAGUAAGACAAUUUCUUCUGCUCAUUGACAGCUCAUUAACAUAAAAAACACUACCAUUUCCCAUUGCUUCUUGGUAAGACAAUAUUGAAGAUAUUGAAGAAAUUGUCUUACUAAGAAGCUGUGAUAUUUUGUAUAGGUUUUAGUUCUGCCCAUUGCUCUAUAUUCUUGCAAAAAACUAGGAGGAAUAAUUUCAUUGCUAGAUGAAGCUUGGUAUGUUUUUUAAAUGUUUAUCUCCUUAUUUAUGAUGCUCUACAUUGUGAUUCUUGGUUGGCUCUUUGUAUGAUUUUGUGGCAGGUUUGUGGUGGAUUAAAUGAGCUGUACGUUGAGCUGAAGAGGCUUGUGAAUUCAGAAGAAAAGUUGUACCAGAUGGCUAGCUAGUUGCAUAUUUAAUAUGUUUAGUAUUUUUGUAAGGCAUAAUAGU